AAUGGAGGAAACUCUGAUGCAGCGACGCCGCGUGAGUGAAGAAGGUCUUCGGAUCGUAAAACUCUGUCCUUGGUGAAGAAGAAAAUGACGGUAGCCAAGGAGGAAGCCCCGGCUAACUACGUGCCAGCAGCCGCGGUAAUACGUAGGGGGCGAGCGUUGUCCGGAUUUACUGGGCGUAAAGGGUGAGUAGGCGGUUAUAUAAGUCAGAUGUAAAAGGCACAGGCUUAACUUGUGUAAGCAUUUGAAACUGUAUAACUUGAGUGCAGGAGAGGUAAGUGGAAUUCCUAGUGUAGCGGUGAAAUGCGUAGAUAUUAGGAGGAACACCAGUGGCGAAGGCGACUUACUGGACUGUAACUGACGCUGAGUCACGAAAGCGUGGGUAGCAAA
RNAcentral lists this ribosomal RNA (387 nucleotides) under uncultured bacterium. Its description in RNAcentral is "bacterial SSU rRNA". It matches the Rfam family "Bacterial small subunit ribosomal RNA", at positions 370 to 772 of the family's 1533-position model. The record is from RNAcentral.